AGCAUGGGCCACGUGUUUGAAGUAGUCCCGCCCACAGGCACCCAGAUGAGCCAGAGAACACGUGGACCGGAGGGGGAGGGGAGGGGAGGGGCGGUUGUCUGAGGGGGGAAAACAGGCACCUCAGCAGCCCCAUGUGACGGCUCCAUUGUUGUUGCAAAUGACUUCACGUUGGCGGUGAGCGAUAAGACACGCCGUGUGAUAGAAGAGCAAGGCCCGGUUUUACUUUGCUGUCAUCAUAACAGGAAACUGGCCCACAGUAAAAAAGCCAACUUGGACCUGUUGUUACAGCUUUGUCAUUCAUUUGUUUCUUGUAGUAAGCAAGUUCACUGCCAGAGUAGCACAGAAACAACAAGCCUUGUGUUGUACAUUUAUAAAAAUAACCCCCGAGCUGCAUGCUGGGUAAAGCUCACAACAAGAAGUAACUGUGUUGCCACAUCAAAACACAGAAAAGAGCGAUACAGGAGGAACGACGAGAGACCAGAGAUGCACCAACAGAGGAGCUGUGUCUGUUUGGAGGGUCUGGAGUCCGUCGAGCCUCUCUCAACGCUAGCAGCCACAACAAGCUAACAAGCUAACACGCCAACAAGCUAUCUUUGGAUCUUUUUGGGGAGGUCGAUGUGCGCUUACUUUAAAAAACAAUACCGCCACAUACCGGGAUACCGUCAGGAUCUUUCUAAAUACCGUGAUAGCACAAGUAGACGUCCAUGAAAAACUGUGAACUUUCUUUGCAGGUUCAGCUUUGACCUGCUGCAGGGCCGUAAACAGGAUCUGAGAGAUACUGAGGUCAAAUCCCCCCCCCCCACAAUGUGCCCGUAACAACAAACAGGGAGUUGCCAAAAAUGCUGUUUCAGAUCCCUUUGCUCUCUGCCAAGAGCAGAACACUGUGUUGCUCUAAAGGUUGUGUAAUCUAAAACUACUGCCAAGAUCUCCAUAUUUACAGAAAACAAUUGUUCUACCAGCUUGAAGGUGCGCCCACUUCCAGUUUUACGUCGAAAUGAAGUGACGUACAUCUGGCUAAACUAGUUUUCCUUUUCGGACAAUUGCAUUUUUUCAGAAUAAUGGCGUAGUAGCUGUUCCAGACGCGGCGACUAACGUCCCGACUGACUAAUGUUACGGAAGCUGCAAUGAUAUGAGCAAAAGAGAACAAAGAUGAAGUAAAUCUCAUCCAAGUAGCUUUCCUGCUCCCCUCAAAACGGAUGCGUGUUCCUGUGUGAUCCAUGUUUAGUCGUUUGUCACGCUGACAAAUUCCGAUCAUUUAUGUGAGUUUUUCGGAAGCAGAUGAUAUUAAAUGCAGGGACUCUUCCAAAGCUCGGGGUUUGUUGAGUGAACGAGCGGCUCCGCUCGGCGAGGCGAACAAUAAAUCAACAUCACUGUAACCGUAUUGAAAAUUCGCCGCGUGUUUUGGCGCGUUCGGCACUCGGCCCAUGCUGACACAUCACGUGCAGCCGGUGCACACCUGCUGUGUUUUGGUCUCCUUCUCCCUUUCUUCCUCCUCCUCCUCCUCCUCCUCCAAACACCACCCCCCCCCUCCCUCUCCUCACCCCACCCCACCCCACCCUAUCUAAACCCAACCCAGUUUCCUGGCAAUGUGGUGUGAGAGCCGUUGGGCUGCGUCUUUGUUUGCGUUCCCUCCGCUUCCUCUUUUCACUGAGUGCUUCAGCCGAGCGGAGAUAGUCGGAGUGGCGUUCCCUUCCCCCUCCCCGCCCUCGCUCAGCGUGGGGCCACGUGCCAAGAGACCUGAGAUGCUCCCCGACUCCCAGUUCAAGCCACUGGCUUCCAUUGCUGCAAACACUGACACUGGUUAUUUGGAUUUCCCCCCCCCCCAGUUCUUUUCAAUAAAAAAAUUAAUAGAAAUGUAAUGCACUUCUCACUCGUAACCUAGAGGACAGGGAUUGUACUUCCUUCCCAGCAUGCAUUGGGUGACAGGGAAGGGAAGCACCACGUCUAUUCGCACACUGUGUGCGCUUGGAUCGUGAGAGUAAAUGGGAGCACCCGAAGGACACGUACACGAAAAACAGAGAGAACACGCAAAUUACAUCAGAAAGCCAGCUGCUCACAGCAGCACCAGUAGACGUGUACAAAAGGACACGUUAUACAAUGUGCUCCUACUGACAGGGUUCUGUUCACACACCGAAUGCAUGUGUGGUUUUCCUUUCUCCAAAAGAACAGUUGCGCAUUUUAGGCGUCAUGCUUGUUUGCUUUCAUGCAGGGAGUUUGAUCAGAAGCACUAAGUAAAUAUGAAGCUACAGCCGGCUGUCCUUAAGCUUAGUUUAUCUCAUAUUCUAGUUGCAGAGAAACGGUGGAGACUUAAACAUUCAGUUUCUCUGCAGCCUCAAAACAUUUAUUAGUUUAAAAAAAGGUUAAUUUUCAAAAAGUGAUUGCUGUCCUUCAGAAAAAUGUCUGGUCUGGAGUUAUAAGGUUUUGUUUUCCACUUUUUCUCUCCCCCUAAACAUGUUUUAACCCAUUUAAGGGAGUUAAAUACCUUCUAAACACCUUUCUUGAAGUCUGAUUAACUAAGUCCAACCCAUAUUUGUUGAGUUACUAUACAGGUACGACGCAGGCAGUUUGUUAGAGGUUCAUUGAGUAGCACAAUCAACCCCCCAAGGGUCAAAACACACAAGAAAGCAGAUACACAAUGAGAUCUGGAAUAUGCAUUUCAAGAAACUGCUUCCAGAAACAAUCCAUCACUAGUACAUUGAUUAAUGAAGAGCCAGAGAACAGAUCUGAAGAUGAAUUAUGUUUAUUUGGAUCCCGUAUCGAUCUCCUGUCUAAUUAUACCUACGUGGCCGAGUAUCAGUUCAUUCAUCCGUUUAUUCCCGUUCUAACAAUGACGAUCAGAAUGAACGUCGGUUCACAAUUAGGGUUCCUGUGUGCCCCGUUCUUUAGUUCUCAUGACUAAAUACUCUCCACUAUCCUCUCCAGCACAGAGAUACAGAGAGUCUCUGGAUCGGCGAAUACAAAAAAACAUUAGUCGGUGCAUCUGCAAUCGGUGUCCUUGAAAACCAAGGUCGCCAACCGAGGCGCCGCAAACCCGCUCACACUUAGUCCUCCUGGAGGACUUUUUUUUUUUUUUUUUUUUUUUUUUUAUCCCCCACGCCUCAAGCACCACAACGGUGCUGAGAAAACACCCCUCGCACUUGCUCGCUCGCUUUGUUCCACGCUCGGCGUGUGAAUGAAUCAUCCUGAAGGGCUCGCGUUCAUGACGCUGUUGCUGCUCUUGUUUUUUUUCGCCGGGGUGAUAAUGAUGAGGAGCAAGAGUUAUUAAUACACGCGCUUCCUUCGGGGGCUCACGCUCACGCGGUGGAAACGGAAGUCGACGAUGCGCCGGGAGGUUUUCACAGGAGACCCACUAUUAGAUGGUGGCUUUGCUUUUGCUCAAUUACAACAGAGAAUGAAGCUAUUGGCAUCUAGAUGAUCUGAGUUUGUGCUUUUUCAAAUGCAUUUGUCAGCCUGAUGUUGCAGACUAAUGUCACAGUGAAUCUUAGACUCAAGGUACAAUCUUGUGGCUUUUUAUUAGUUGUCUUAAGUGCAAAGAUCACGGUGAAAGGACUCAAAUUCAACUUGAGUUUUCAGUUCCCUCGAAUCUAACAGAUGUGGCCUACAUCUGAUAAUUCAUCCUUUGAUAGAAAGAAAUAUUUUGUCAGUCAACCUUCACUGCUGCUCUCUGUCCCCACACAUUUAGUUGUCAGAUGAAAAAGGCGGUUUGAUUGUUUUGCUGAAUAAAGGACCCUGAGGAAAACUGUCUGCUGUCCUUUUGAAACCUUGUUCUCAUUACAGUGACUGAUGAGGAAACAUCCCAAAGUAAACACGUCCAUUUGGCUAAAGGAUCCCCGCUGUUGUUCUUCUAAACAACCCCCCCCCCGUCACACACACCCUCCUCCCGCCUCAUGGCUCCUAUUUCCCAGUGCAUUGUGGGUAGACAAACAAAAAAGAAUCCAGGCAGAGGAGGAGGAGGAGUCCAACGUUCAGCCUCCACACCAGUGUUUCCUCAAGCCAGCUGAAGCGCCGAAGCUGAGUCACAGCGUCGCCCGAAUCAACCCGCGCGCCCACAAUGACAACACGUCGCUCUGGACACAUCUGUGCGUCCACGCACUUAAAAAACACACCCAUAUAUGGUUCCCCCCUCGGGCAGAAACACAGGGAGCCCAAAAAAAAGAGAGGAAAUAGGAAAAGAUAUUCGAAGAAAUAUAUGCAUUAUAAAUGAAAGUGCUCACGUCUCUGUGAGUCUGUGCUUUAGAACGCUGGUAAAUUAAAGUAAAAGUGUUCAAAUCAGAUUUCACAAUAAUUCUAAUAUUUCGAUAGGAAACCACGGAUGCGUGUGGGUAGCUUUAUGAUUUAGGAGGUGACCGUCAACUGCAACUGUCUCUGACUGGUGGAUCGCCGUGUCUCUCUCUGUUGUCUCUGCUGUCUGUAAAGAGCACAAUGGAAAACGUUCAUGUGUCCACACAGUGUGUGUGGAGGUGUUUCAGAUGUGACGCUAACGUACCGCAACGAGACAACAGUCGAACACAGCCGCUGUCAUUAAGGCCAGGAGAGGUAAUCAUGUGACAAAAAUCACCAAUGCAUAGCUUCUAGGGGUGUAACGAUUCAUUCACUGAAUCGAUUAAUCGAUUUAUAUUCCAGCGAUCCAACUGAAUCGAUCUGUGCUCCGCAAAUCGGCAUUCCGGACGACAUAUAUCGAUUACAAAUCGAUUGAAAUGGUACAUAAUCGAUUGUAUCGAUACUUGGAAACUGCACAUUGGAUUUAAGUACAAAAACGGUAUGGAUGUGUGUUUCUUAGUUCGUUUUUUAGCACUUUCAGCAACAUCACAGCAACAAUUGCCAAGUUUAUCUGUAAAGACAUGCGACCCUACAAUGUGGUUGAAAGUCCGGGGUUCUGUGAAUUGAUCCAAACAUUGUGUAAUUAUUGUGUAAUGUUUACAUUGAAAAUGGCACUUGAUUCAAAUAAAAGGUUAAUACAUUUGCCAUUAAUUGAUUUCCUUACAAGAAACAACAGGGAUCUCGGAAACUUUGCCUGCACUGUCCAGUAGAGUUACUGAAUUGAUCAAGUCAAAUCGAAUCGUUCUAAAUUAACCCAGAUCGUCCAUGAAUCAAUCGAAUCAUUGUUAAAAUGAAUCGUUACACCCCUAAUAUCUUGCAUACUUUAACAGUGAGAAUAUUCAAAGCCCAAAGUGAAUUGAUUUCAUUAAUAUAUAUAUCCACGUGAAGGAGUUGAUAUCAAACUCGAGCCUUGCAUGCGGAGAAUAACAUUCAUUUUAGAUUCCCAGUGCAGUCUGCCUCGCCGCUUCAGCACACUGUCACCAUGGCGAUCCCUGGGGAAAGGUCAUGAGCCGCCCGGCUGCGAUGCUUGAAGGUCUGCGGAUUGGCUAUUGAUGCUGAUGACACGAGACUCGCCGGCUCAUACUGGUCAUCCUUCCGCUGGCUCAUUUUCAAACUUUGCUCUUUCGGAGGAUCCUUUUGACAAAGCUCCUUGGCUCCCCGGCUGCACAGCACAGCUUCCACCGAUAAAUGUUUGUAAAGCUGAUAGCAAAUGUUUUUGUAAUAAAACUGCCAAAAGCUGACAUUCAGUAUCUUUUAUUUGGCAUUUCUGUGUAAAAAAACAACAAAAAAACAAUGAAUAUUUAAGGUCUCCAGUGAAACUCAUACUUGUGAAAUUCUAUUAGGUGAGUUAUCAGCUCCGCUCGCUCCUCAUGUGCAAUCCAGUCAGUGAAGAGCCCUCCUAGUCCAUUUAAAAGCAGUAAAAAACAUUAACCAAAUUGACAAGUGUUUAGUUAACAAGACACAUCUGCCCACUUAGCACGUGCUCAUUUAUUUCUGGACCAAUUGAACAUUUUCCAUAGCAAUGAACGCUUCACAUUUCCAAAUGUUCACGUAUUUUUCUUCAAUUCCUCCCCCCAUAUGUUCAGUGAUAAUCUCUGGUGAGGCCGGGCAGAAUGACUAAUCAAGGUUGAUGGAGGGGAAUUAACUGAAGUGUUUUUUUCGACUUAUAAUGCCCUUUAGAACGUAUGAAUGCAUGUUGUGCAGAGAGCUUUUCAAUUAAAUCAUAAGAAACACACAAGGCAAUCUUUAUUAGACAUUCAUCAUACAGCAUCAAUUCCAUAGUGUAUUUUCCAUCUUGUACAGUGUAAGUUUAAAGCAUAAUAAAAUGCAAAAUGAUCCAGCAAGAUGCAGGACUGUGCAUGCGUUCCAUCGUUUGCUCAAAAAGGACCCAGUCACGCCGGCAUUGAUGGGGCCCGAUUAGCCACCAGCUAUUCCACUCAGAUUACUUUUUGACAUGCACAUUGACCAAAUAGCAAAGCAUCGUGAGCGUGCUGACCCUAUGAGUAAUUAUCCAAUUUAACAUGAGCCAAACCAAACCCCCAUGGAGCCAAAAGACCAUUUUAGUGUCCAUUGGCGGAAUUUCAGGUCACAUGGCGCCCGCCGAUGAGCCUGGAAGAGGCUUAUUGUAAAUGAUCGUUGCGCUGCAUGGGAAGCUGACGGGAAUCAAUCCGGCUCCAAAGCCAGAGAAACACUGUCGGUGCUGAUCUCUUUCGGUUGGACGUGCACGGAAGGACCCAGCGUCCCUGCUGGGUGAUGUUCCACGGCAGCAGAAUGCGUGUACAAAAACUGGCAAAACUUUCACUUGCCUUAAGGUGUGGAAGUUUCGGUAGAGCCGCGUUCAUAACUAACCGUUUAACAUGCCAGCUAGGAAUAUUACCCUACCAGCCCAACGAGUAUUAUUACGUCGGCGAGUUUUCGUUUUCAGGGUGUAUCAAUCGCCUUCUCCUGUUCGGGCCGUAGAACUUUCUGCCGUGCCGUUUACACGCCACGACCCUUUCAACUAAAAUGUCAAUUUGGUCUAUUAACCACAAACAUAUUAUGAGGAAACAUUAGAAGAGGUUCACACAACGCACACAGCGUUAGCAACACGGUGUGUGCCGUGGCUGGGGAACAUUACAAAAAAAAAUCAAGUGCACAGAGGUGACGCUGACGGCGAUGAAGCAAAGGUCUGGCUGCACAUAAUCAAAGCCGAGCAAAUCGGUUUGACUUAAAAAUACUCCACGCUCACUGAAGUCAUCCACCAGAAGCUCAGCAGUCACCUCUCAUUACGCAUGCAGUAAUCACUCGCAGCCAAAGUGUGUACAUCACAGCGGGUUGGUUUUUAUUUUGAUUGCAGUGAGGUAGAUUAUUUUUUUUAUGUUGACAUUUUUAAGCCCCGCAUAACAGGCGGAAGCUGCGCGUCUGACGUGAUCGUGUCAGUGAGCUGGAAACCAAGCAUCGAAACAAAUGACGUGAAACAAUAGUAUUUAUUUAUUAUGAAUAUAACCUGAAUCUAUGUCAGGCUUUGUUUGUCAUGCUUUGAUUAUACUAUUGCACAACUGCUUCCACAACAUUUAAAUAGAUCCAUUUGACAAGUAUGCUGUUACUCAGGUAGUUGCAACUUAUCAUUCAGGGAUUUUCCAGGAACAAUUGAGGGUGUUUUUUAUUCUUUGGAAGUGUGUCGGGGCGAGGCUGCCGGAAUGAGGGCAGGAGAAGGUUCGCUGAGGUGAAGUCUCGCCACUUCCUGUUGACUACUGAAAAAAAUGUGGAGAGAUCUCCACAGCAGCCAACAACAAACUAUUGAUCCUGUUUGAAUUACACAUAUGCAAGAUUUAUACCUAAUUUAAGAUGAUUUUUAGAAUGUUUUUCACAUAUUCACAUAUUGGAGACAUUGCAUUGGAGAUAUUUGCAUGGAGAUAUUUGAUGUUUUUGCAGGUAUGGUAAUUCAGAGUGUGUUUGGCCAUUAGGUUUUCAGACACACACACGACUGCCAACAGAACGACAAAAGACAGCAGCAUCGUUUUUCUACCAGAUAGUGAACGUCGUGCAGUAGAAUGUGUUUCCACGAGGGUUACAUAGCAGAUCGUUAAAAAGGAGCUGCACACUGUUUGAUUAAUUGCUUUCCACUGCAAUUUACAGUCUUGAUUAUCCACAGUCAACGUCCCCGCUCACUGUUUUUGUUAUGACCCAUUUUUACCUUCAAUUUCAAAACACUUAGGCAAAGUAGGGCAGCAGUUAUGCAGCACCAAACAAUGACACAAAGCCACACACGUGUUGUCGGGCAGUUCUUUAUCUAAGCGGACUGAUUUGUUCCAGCAGGUAGUCAGCCGGCGGGGACCGAAACAGACGGAGAUCCGGAGAGGCGACGGCCGCUUUGCACCAAGCCGAGCGCCAUUUGGCAGAGUGAAGGUGACAGAGAUCGGUAGUCAGAAAAAGACACAGUGUUAUUGUGCAAAUGGCUUUCUUCAAGAAAUUCUCCAUAUCAGCUCAUCGAAAACCAAAAGAGAUGCCUAGUGGCCCGGUGAGCUUUAAACCAUGACGCUCUAGAUUCCCCUCUAGCGACCGUUUAGAAAGUCCCGGGUGUUGCGUGGCCGUCUCCGCCCGCUGCACACAAAAUAAACGUCCAAUUCAGGUUUAAUUAGUCUUCUGGUUUGCUAACGCAACAAAAGUGUUUUUUGCAUGAAUUAAGUGUCAAAUAAUUGUAAAAAGCCGAAUGCCUGCUGGGUCGGGAUCCGUUAUUCCUUCUCUGUGGCUCGGGUCAGGCUCAGACAGACUACUGUACAAAGUGUACGCUGUACAAAAAGAUCAUUUAUUAAACUGGGAUUCUAUUAGGGAUUAGUUAGUGAGUCUUAAAGAAAAGCCCGAUGCUCAUGGCCUUGCGAGAACGGUGAAAGGUGACAUCCGGUUGACAGCAGCCAUCCGCUCACGCAUUUGUGUACCAGUGUGACAGCGAUCUGUUAUGAAUUCACACUGCAGGUUGAUCGAUUAUAGAACUCAUUUUAUAAAUUAGACUGAUGGAGGCGACGCGAAGCUGAAAUGACCGACAGUUUAUGUAUGUCUGAGAGCAAUAUGAGCACUUGAGUCACCAAACAAAGACUAGCAUGUAGUUACCAUGUUUGUUUAAUACAUAUAAUUAGUUUACACAUGGAUAGACCGGUCCUGCAGUGAUGGAAACAAUCGGCAAAACACGAGUGCUAUUCUGGACAUUCAAUUUGAAAGUGAAACAAACAACACUUUCCACCUAUUCAUGAGUUUAGCGUCACAGCUAGUUUCCUUCAAAUAUGAAGUCUAAUGCAUGUACAAAUCAUUAUGCAUGGAAAGAUUUCUAUACAAGUCUUUAAAAUGAUCCGUCAGCAGUAUUACAAAAAUGGCCUCCGGUCCAUUUCAAUAUUUUAAUACUCACUAGUUAAAGGUUCAUUAGUUGAUUUGUUUCCUUUGAAAGUUGGGGGUACUGAAGGAAACUUUACAUUGCUAUUGUUAUUAAGUGGUAACGGCCCACAUCAUAGCAACGGGUUACUUACUCAUUUCACAGUACACACUCUCCUUUUAUCUCUGUUUUGGUCUCCGCCGCCCCUGUAAGCCUCCCUGCUCUGUUUUUGUCAGCUAAUCCACACAAUGCUCACCAACUAGUUGUUUACUUUGUCCGCAUGCCAGGAAUUCUGGUAUGUCCGUAGGAGCAACGCUUUUCAUACCACAAUUAGUGAUACGAUGCGUUGGUAUAAGAUAUGAAUAGAGUUGUUAGAAGGGCUUCGAGUCAAAUUGUGUGGGUGGUACUGUUAAGUGUUCAGAGUUUCUAUAGACUCUUACUACUACUACUACUAUAUUUUAGAAAAGUAAAUUCAUAUGCAGCUGUUUUGCAUUAGCAAUUAGAUUUUAGGGGAUGGCUUUAAAGUACUUGCCGACAACUUUUUCAUUAAUUUCUAAGGUCGAUGUUAUUUUAUUUUCAAAAGAUUCAUGUAAAGUAACAGUUGUCUUUUGCAUGGAUGGUCAGACUGAACACACUAGUACCAAAAAGUCAAAAAGAAGAGUUGAGCACAAAAACCAUACAAGGCGACAGAUUCAGUAAAGAGAUUCAUGGGGUCAUUUUUCACUGUCUUUUUAAUAUAGACUUGUAAUACGUGCAUGGUUUAUUACUUAUCAUUCAAGAUAAAAGGAAGACAUCAAUAUUCAUUAACGUUCUUACACUACUUUGAAAAACAGCGUGAUGAUUAGAUUUGUCAGAGCGAGUGGAUGUGUGUAAGUGUGUUAAGUGGAGGAGGGGUCAGACUUUUGUGUUUCAAAUUCAGCCUGGCUGAGGAAUGUGGGCUGUGAAGAGCAGGAGAACAAAAAAAAAAACUGGAUUCACAGGGAUUAGAGACAACACUGAAUGACAGCUCUUUAACUCAUUCAUUCUCCGCGGCUCAUGUUUUAUUCAUCUCUCUUUAAUAAGGUAGUUUAACCGAAAUCAAGAUGUCUUUUUAAAGGAGGGCCCUGACAACAAAAACACUUCCAUUGAACUGAUUCAAAUGUAGGUUGGCAACAGAGUUUCAAUUGGUGGUGGGGGGUGGUGGUGGUGGUGGUAAGGCCACACCAGCCCCCCACCCUCUGAGAGACCCAGCAGAUACCGAGUAUUUAGCAAAGCAGAUUUAAGCUGGAAAGAGGCUGACUCAUUAUUGUCUUCUAUCAAUCGUCCCUCAAAUGCCGCAGAAGAGCCAUUUGUGCAUCCGACAGUGUCUAUCAAAUAAAAAUGAAGAGGUUCGGUUCAGACUCUCCCCUUUUGUGUCUGCCACACAAUUACCGAAGCCUCUGCAUUAAGCACCGACGACGACGACAACAACAGCGAAGACACAGUCUCAUGCAUAGUCACACAAGGAUUGACAUCUGCCAGCAGAAGCUAGCGGAGCAGCUUGGCCGGGCUUGUUCACGGCCUUAAUCAAUGGGAGGCUUAGCCGGUGACACAAACGAUCAUGGCAGCAGCAGAAGAGGCCGCAGACUGUAGCAAAUCCCAUCUCAUCUCAUUACCAUGGACGCAUGAGAGGAGCCCCAUUGCUAUUUCUGCCAGAUCUGUCACUGCGAACGUGCAGGGGGUGGACGGAAAUGUGAAAGCGCCGGCUCUAUAUGUAAACAUCUGGCGAUAUGUGAAUAUCCAGCAGGGUAUCAAAUGUGCCCACGAGUGUUUUGUGCAUAUGUUAUCCCCCUCCGUGGCGUUUUUUCGUACCACACAGCAGGUGCGACAGCGUUUCAGCAUUGACAUAUCACAACCCCGUUCAUUUCUAGGUAUCAAUGUGGUUGCCUUCAGCGACUGAGGUUGCACGGCGCGUAUGUCGUGUUUGAGAUGUGCUUUGUAGCAUCUAAUUCCCUUCUUCGCUACACUAUUUCUAAAGUGUAGUUUCUACAUGUCAACAAGCACAACAUGCUUAUCGGGUGUGUUCAGAGGAGAUAGUGGAACUUCCACAUAGAGCUCUGGACGGAGCAACACGGGGGGGAAACAGUGGCCUUGGAAGAACGGUUAGUCGUUUUAAACACUUCGAGAACCACUAUGCAAAUAAAAUGAAUCAAGCACCUACGUAUGACGAGCGAGUUUGAUGGAUGUUUUUCAGUAUAAACUUCACACACAAAAUCUGCAUGCUGACACUGCACUUUGAAACAAGUAAUUACAGACAGAUAUCUCCCUGCAGACACGUCCGGUUAAUCAUCUGUCACUUUGUAGUUGUAGUGUAAUUCAAAGUUAAAGCGCUUUUUAAUGUGGUAUUGCUGUUAUUUGUUUGCCCCACCACUCAGUGUGUUUACAUGAUGGUAUAAUUCAAAUAUUUGCUUAGUCGGACUAUGCUCUCUUUUGGGGCAAGUGCUAUUAUCCCAAUAUACAUGGCAGUGAAUAAAUCGAAUCAUUGGCCGAAAGCAUGUCAUAUCCGAUACGAUAGGUGGCGCUGUUUUCAUUACAACUAGUUGUGAUACAGCCAUUUCCUCCUUGACCUCUUCACCACUACCAACAACAACAUCAACAUUACGGGAAAGAUGGCGAGCGGAGAGCAAGGUGAAGCUACAUCCCUCUACUGUGUGUGCAUGAUGCUAAUAGGAGCACAGCGAAUGCGAAUGGCGCUAUCGGCUGAUUUGAUAACGGAGAGAAGACGGCGUCGGGAUCUCAAGCAUGCGCAAAGACGCGAAGUCCAGUUCCUUAUCCGAUUCACCGUUACAUGCCGCAAUAGUCGAACUAUCAACUGGAUCGGAUGGAGUUAUCCAGGGGUGUUAGUCGGACCGUUGUCGGACCGCACACAGUCGGACAAAGGUGUUUACAUGAAACGGAUCAUUCGAUUUCAGUCCGACUAAGCCAGUUAUUCGAAUCCAUGUAACCACGCUGACUGUAUGUGCAGUGGAAUAUAGCGGUGCGACACGCUAAAGACAGGCAACAACACUCAAGCCAGAGCUCCCUUCAGAUAUAAGAGAUAUAUUUAGACCCGACGCUCUUUGCAGUACAAACCGAGCGGUAUUCCCCUCUCAAUCGGAACAACUGUGUUCCAGCACCACAACACAGCCAGGGGUCGUCCACACUGUCAAAGGCCCUGAUGGAAUAAUACCCAUGUUGAAUCAAUCCCUUAUGUAGUGGACACAGGAGCCGAUUCACGACCAUAGGUUCCUCUUAGCUGAUCCAUGUUUUUUUUGUACAAAGCCCGCUUUUGUGCGGACAGGAGACAAGCUGUCUUCCCAUGGCCAGCCGGACCGGCCGUGUCCAAAGCAGUGUCAGGGUGCUGCGACGGUCCUGUGUCACGGAUAACAGGACACGAACCGGCUGCUGCCGUCUCCCGCCCUGUCGUGAAAAAACAACAAGCGGCUUGUGUCUGAAGUGACUCAGAAUAUUUGACAACGGGAGCGGGGAACAGCACAUGGGAGAGUGCGGGGAAGAAUCAAAAGCGGCAGUCACAGGGACAGUUUGAAGCUUCGCUCAGAUACAAAACACCCCGGUAUCCGAACACAAAGACUCGGCAGUAUGAGCUCGGAAAGAAAGAGUCUCUUUUUGGACAUCAUGUACAGUUCUUCUGAGUAUCCGCCUGCUGUCUCGUAAGCCCCAGGCACAGUUCGCUUCAGAGUCCUCAUUGGGAGCUUGGGGGGGGGGGGGGGUGCGACAUCCUGAUCGUUGAUAGAACUGAAAAGCAAGCCUCUUUAACCGACUAAAUCUUGACCAACUAGCUGGGCAAGGCAACCAUUAUCAACCCCAGACACAUCGUGCAUUGAGGCGCUUACAAAUCGUCCAACGGUUCAUCCGCCACCGCUUGGUCAAUGCCUUUAAUGGAGCAACAAAGUACGAGUAACUAUCGUUGCCACAUGCUCUGACGCCUACUUGUCACAUUCUGCCACCUGGGCCGGGGCCCCAACGUCACCGCAAGAUGCCUCUUGAGGAGCGUCCAGACGCUGAAUAUUUGGGCAAGUGGUCAACGUUGUGAAACAACGUAGUACAGUAUAGUCAAAGAUAAUGGUUAGGGUAGAAAUAAGCUUGAAUACCCUUGAAACGUGACAGACACUACAGAUGUAAGGGAUGGUCAGUCGGUGACAUAACAUCACCUGUAAAUGAAUGUUAGUUUGACCCGUCCACUACCCGUCCACCUCCCCACACUUAUGGGACUUCUCACUGACACAACGUCAUUUACUCCGAGCUUCUAAUAAGGGCGCAGAAGUGGUUUACUGGGAGAGUGGUGUGUCAGCAUUAAGAGGCAGCCGGCCACUGCCUGAGUGUUAUUCUAAAUGCACCAACACAUGGGACACAGAGCGGAUCUCUGGGGUCAGAGUCCUGUGCUUUGUACGCCAAUCACCCUCCCAAAACCCUUCCACGGCAACGAUGUAACAAUAUCUAGGUCAAAAAAUGAUUCAGGCAGUAAUUAAGUUUCCACCAAAAGGUGUUUUUGUCCUCAGCGGAGGUCUCCGGAGAUAUGCCCAGGUGUUAUCGCGAUCCAAUAUCUACCUAGACGUGGCUGAAAAAGACUGCAGCUUUUUUCUUUUCAUGUUUCUGCAUUUUCUUGUAAUUUGUCACACUGUAUUGAUGCAUCUCUGUUUGCCCCACUCCUUUAUCAGGCAGACAGAAGGUCUCUUCAACACACGCAGCACAAACUGUGAGUGGUUAAAGAACACAAAGAGGGAUUGAGAUGAAGGGUGGGGCCGGGUGGAGGAGGACAGAGGGAGAAGUGUCAGAGAGGGGACAAAGACAACACCAUCUGACUGCAGAUGAUUGUUCCAGUCAUUAGCAUGGGCUUGGGCCCUCGCUGAAGACUCAGCAGGGCUUUUCGCUGUCGACACAAGCAAAGCUUUUAUUGAGCAAAUGAUGAUGUUGAAGUGGAGCUAAUGUGACCACUUCCACUUCUCCUUGUCCCCAUGAUGACCUUAUAUUUCUAGAGCUUUUAAAAAAUAUCUUUCAUUAAAACACGAUUAAAUGAAAUAAUGAAGCGCCGCAAUGACUGAAACUCGUGGGGUUAGUCAAUAAAACCCCCCCACAAAAGAAACCUGAAUAAGAUGGAAAACCUCAAACCACUAAUAACUAACCUGACCUCAGUGAAUGAUGUAGCACAGAGGUUUCUUAAAUUGUUUAACCCCUGUCAACAAGACAGCAUUAUUUUCCUCGAUUGCUAACUAGUGCAAAUCAUUUGUGUCAUGUGAUAAUACUGUGGUUAUGGUUAAAAACAACCUGGUUAAGUUGUUGCGGUUUGGGCUGAAAUUAGUACGUUAGGAGACAUCCGGCAUCGUGUCGACGGUGAUGAUAUACACUGAAUUGGUAAUUCACUGUUAGUAGGAACAUUGGAUUCCAUUUGUUUCCCAGUUCUGUAACUACAACAAGAAUAAUGCUGCAUCCUGAAGGCAAACUGAAUAUCGUGAGCAGAAAUGUAAGAAUCGGAGGACAACGGUAGAGACAGUUGUCUCAGUUUGCUAUACAAUAAGAAAGCUGUAUUUUAUAGUACAAUAGCAACAUUUUACAUGUCCCACACAGAAACCUUUAAUUUCUUUCCCUCACCAUAGAAACAUUUAGUCAUGGAGGUUCCGUCUUGCCGUCCUGCCGCUCCGUCGUACUGUUUGUUUGUUUUGUCCAUCUGCCUAAUUCCAUGUGAAUGCAGCAGCACGGUUUACAGCCCUAUUAGCACUGAGGCGCCGCGGUGCUUUGAGGUCAAUGUUAACACCAGCAUGCUAGCGUCCCACUAGAGUGCCGAUGUUUGGAGGCUUCCGUGUGCGCUUACAGGGUUAGCAUGCUAGCAGUAGAAAGGCUAUCGGGUUCAUCCUCUGGGCACCGUGUGUGUUUGAACCAAAUUACAUUCCAGUCCAUUUUUCAGUUGGUGGACCAGCGUCGUCAUCCCUUAGUGUUGUGAACGAAAUGAAAACAUUACAGAAACCGACACAUUGUCACGCUUGCCUAUUUUUCAAAUCUCAUACAAAACUCGCUAGCUUUGCUAGUAGGUGUGUCAUCAAAACAUCUCCGAUAGCUCACUGACUAAAGGUAAAUGGACUGCCACCUUUAUUGCACCUCUUUCGACCUCUGAAAGCACUUUGAGCUCAUCGUCAAAUCAGAGAAAGCAACUGAGAAGAUUGAACAAGUUGGAGGUGAGUUCAUCACACCUUUACAACCGAUGACAGCUCCACAAGGAAGGUGAGAGAGCCACUUUAGCUAUCGCCCUCCGGUGAGUGCGAGCGGCUCUGGGCCCACUGAAGACUGAAUGACGAACCGACACCAAAAUCCUUCUCAACCUGAGAUCAUUCCCACGUCGCUUGUUUUCCCCGGUGUGCAAUGAAAGGGUGCACGCUGGUCCAAUUUAGGGCGGCCUAAGUCGGGAUUUCCGUACGCAGAUAAAAAGAGGCUCAAUCAAGCGACACAAUGAAAUCUUUCAGAUGCAUGUCAUGGAAUCAAUCACAAACGUGUGAUUAUUGAAAGUUGCUGCCAGCUCCAGUUUCAGAAGCUCAGCGACAUCUUUGUACUGACACAAAGAAUUUGCCAGAGUGAGGAGAAAUGCAUUAAAACUUGUGAAUCUUUUGUCAUCCCUGUCAUCUCAUUGUCAUCUUCUAACACACUGCUUUACCAGCAGCCCAUCUGGUAGCAUUGUGCUAAAUUAUAUAACACUUUUAUGUUUAAUAUAAAUCCCUACUCUGUGAUUUUUCACCCACCAUCCCAAAAAACAGCCCAGUUUUUGUGUUGAUAAAGAUUCUCAGCUGAUUUCGGAGGUUUUUUUUGUCACUCAAUAAAUCAAAAAGACGGUUUGAAAAACAAAAUCCCCUGAGGAAAAAGCAUAAAAAACAAAAAAGACGAGACAGAUUCUCAGCU
Gasterosteus aculeatus aculeatus (three-spined stickleback) is the source of this 16069-nucleotide long non-coding RNA. NCBI's taxonomy places the organism in Eukaryota, Metazoa, Chordata, Actinopteri, Perciformes, Gasterosteidae. The record is from Ensembl.